GCGGUUGUAGCACAAUGGUAGUGCGUGCGACUGUGGCUCGCGAGACGAGGGUUCGAUUCCCUCCUACCGCC
This 71-nucleotide transfer RNA is filed under the name Candidatus Pacearchaeota archaeon. RNAcentral's name for it is "tRNA-His". It matches the Rfam family "tRNA". Rfam says of the family: Transfer RNA (tRNA) molecules are approximately 80 nucleotides in length. Their secondary structure includes four short double-helical elements and three loops (D, anti-codon, and T loops). Lineage: Archaea; Nanobdellati. The record is from RNAcentral.